UCAAACUCGGUCAGUGCCGACUCAGGCGGAUUAUAAGAAAAAUACUUAUAAAAUUAUUCUACUUGAGGAUUUUAAUUUUUCGUGCUUAAAACUGUAAGAAUGCUCACUUUAAAUAUUUUCCCGACUUCAUGCUACGAAGACCCGAGAUUUACCACUGCUUUUUAAAAAGUUGCGAUAUUGCAUGAUAUAGGAGUGAAGUCCGGACACCCCAGAGACUGUGAAAAGUAAUGAUUUUUUCCAGCUCUAUUUUCAUGAACUUUAUUCAUUAAGAAAAAUACCUAUAAAAAUACCCAACUAGAUUUUUACCUUUAAAAAGGCACAAAGUGGGAAGUGUCAUGGAUCAGUGAAAGAGGUGAACUUAUGUAUCUUGCCUGAGUGAGGAUCUCCAGAGAGGUAAUUGCUUAUUUUGUAUUGUUGGGUUCUGUUAUUUUGCUACUCUAAAGGACCUAGACCUAUAACAGCAUUUGAGCAUAAAGAAGGGAUUUGUUCUGAGUCAUGGCCAUACUUGGAGGGAAUGCUGUAUAUCUUGAUAACUCCACAAAGGAGUAUUAAUGACAACUUGUUGGGAAUAAUCAAUGAAAUCUGAGUGGAAGACCAAUGUAAAAUUUAUCUGGUUGGUGGAAAAGUGACCUUCAAGAGGGUGAGGGCAUGGAGUUGAGACAAAAGUGAGGGUUUGGGAAAGUAGGAAAUUGUCCAAGUUAGAUAAAAGUAAGGUCCUUUUCGUUAUGGUAUGAAGACCAUUUUGCAAUGUUUUUGUAUAUGUUUCAGA
Molecule: long non-coding RNA, 769 nt
Organism: Polypterus senegalus (gray bichir)
Lineage: Eukaryota; Metazoa; Chordata; Cladistia; Polypteriformes; Polypteridae
Exons: 3
Source: RefSeq, a predicted model, not a curated record